AAAAAUAAACAACUAAAAGGAAAUAACAAUAAAUAAACUAUCUAAACACAGCAAAGAAAAAGUGAUAAAGGAAAAAUGAGAAAAGAAAUAAAGAAGAGACGAUAGAGUCUCCUCCCACACUUAAAUCGAACAUUGUCCCUAAUGUUUCGGAAUAAGAUAAGGGAAGAGUUACCUGACAACCUAUUGCUGACCACUAGUGCCCUCGCCAUCCUGAGGUGGACGACGGGAUCGGGUACGACGACGAUCUCUCUGAACCAUCCUCGCCUGCAGGGCAUCCUGAGC
This 282-nucleotide long non-coding RNA is filed under the name Lathyrus oleraceus (garden pea). RNAcentral's name for it is "Pisum sativum (pea) long non-coding RNA (PSAT_LNC012940)". The record is from RNAcentral. Lineage: Eukaryota; Viridiplantae; Streptophyta; Magnoliopsida; Fabales; Fabaceae.